UAGGGAAUCUUCGGCAAUGGGGGCAACCCUGACCGAGCAACGCCGCGUGAGUGAAGAAGGUUUUCGGAUCGUAAAGCUCUGUUGUAAGAGAAGAACGUGUGUGAGAGUGGAAAGUUCACACAGUGACGGUAACUUACCAGAAAGGGACGGCUAACUACGUGCCAGCAGCCGCGGUAAUACGUAGGUCCCGAGCGUUGUCCGGAUUUAGUGGGCGUAAAGCGAGCGCAGGCGGUUUAAUAAGUCUGAAGUUAAAGGCAGUGGCUUAACCAUUGUUCGCUUUGGAAACUGUUAAACUUGAGUGCAGAAGGGGAGAGUGGAAGUCCAUGUGUAGCGGUGAAAUGCGUAUAUAUAUGGAGGAACACCGGUGGCGAAAGCGGCUCUCUGGUCUGUAACUGACGCUGAGGCUCGAAAGCGUGGGGAGCAAACAGG
RNAcentral lists this ribosomal RNA (429 nucleotides) under bacterium. RNAcentral describes it as "partial 16S ribosomal RNA". It matches the Rfam family "Bacterial small subunit ribosomal RNA", at positions 355 to 776 of the family's 1533-position model. The record is from RNAcentral.